Long non-coding RNA from Etheostoma spectabile (orangethroat darter), 262 nucleotides. RefSeq lists it as uncharacterized. The transcript has 3 exons. NCBI's taxonomy places the organism in Eukaryota, Metazoa, Chordata, Actinopteri, Perciformes, Percidae. The record is from RefSeq and is a predicted model, not a curated record.
AGAUUCAGCAACUGCAUGACCUAUUUCUUCCUUAAAAUGUUUACAGAAACAUGUUUCGGUGAGUAAAAUAUAGAAAAAUAUGAGACUCUGGGAGAGUCUGGCUUUGAAUUUUCGGAGAAGCCAGACCCACGUGACGUGUUCAUCCAAUCAGCUGCCAGUUUAAAUUUUUUGGCCGACAAUACAGAUUAGCGCCACCUGCUGUUAUGGAGAUGUAUUACGUCUCGUCGCUUUAGUGUUUUCAGAGGCACUGUUUUGACCAACU